UGGGCCGUGGUGCAAUCGGCAGCACAUCUGGUUCUGGCCCAGAAGGUUCUAGGUUCGAGUCCUAGCGGCCCAACCA
RNAcentral lists this transfer RNA (76 nucleotides) under Deltaproteobacteria bacterium. RNAcentral describes it as "tRNA-Gln". It matches the Rfam family "tRNA". From Rfam's summary of the family: Transfer RNA (tRNA) molecules are approximately 80 nucleotides in length. Their secondary structure includes four short double-helical elements and three loops (D, anti-codon, and T loops). Further hydrogen bonds mediate the characteristic L-shaped molecular structure. tRNAs have two regions of fundamental functional importance: the anti-codon, which is responsible for specific mRNA codon recognition, and the 3' end, to which the tRNAs corresponding amino acid is attached (by aminoacyl-tRNA synthetases). tRNAs cope with the degeneracy of the genetic code in two manners: having more than one tRNA (with a specific anti-codon) for a particular amino acid; and 'wobble' base-pairing, i.e. permitting non-standard base-pairing at the 3rd anti-codon position. Lineage: Bacteria; Pseudomonadati; Myxococcota; Myxococcia. The record is from RNAcentral.